CAGCAGCCACGGGAAUACGUAGGGUGCAAGCGUUAAUCGGAAUUACUGGGCGUAAAGCGUGCGCAGGCGGUUAUAUAAGACAGAUGUGAAAUCCCCGGGCUCAACCUGGGAACUGCAUUUGUGACUGUAUAGCUAGAGUACGGCAGAGGGGGAUGGAAUUCCGCGUGUAGCAGUGAAAUGCGUAGAUAUGCGGAGGAACACCGAUGGCGAAGGCAAUCCCCUGGGCCUGUACUGACGCUCAUGCACGAAAUCGUGGGGAGCAAACAGGAUUAGAUACCCGAGUAGUCCCUGUCUCUUAUAA
This 301-nucleotide ribosomal RNA is filed under the name uncultured bacterium. RNAcentral describes it as "partial 16S ribosomal RNA". It matches the Rfam family "Bacterial small subunit ribosomal RNA", at positions 509 to 809 of the family's 1533-position model. The record is from RNAcentral.